This 1072-nucleotide long non-coding RNA is filed under the name Equus caballus (horse). Its description in RNAcentral is "lncRNA (ENSECAG00000056220.1)". The record is from RNAcentral. Lineage: Eukaryota; Metazoa; Chordata; Mammalia; Perissodactyla; Equidae.
CAACUUUAUUUGCUUUUUAACAUGGCCAUUCUGAUAUUUUGCUGAGACCAACAAGAAAAAAAUUUAAGAAUUUAUCUCUUUUAACAAAUAUUUUUCUUUUUUUUUUUUUAAAGAUUGGCACUUGGGCUAACAACUGUUGCCAAUCUUUUUUUUUUCUGCUUUAUCUCCCCAACCCCCCCCCCCCCCAACUAAGAGAUACACAGUUGUAUCUCUUAGUUGCAGGUCCUUCUAGUUGUGGGAUGUGGGACGCCGCCUCAAUGUGGCCUGAUGAGCGGUGCCAUGUCCGCGCCCAGGAUCCGAACCCUGGGCCGCCGCAGCGGAGCGCGUGAAUUUAAACCACUUGGCCAAGGAGCCGGCCCCGAUUUUUCUUCUUGAAUGAAUGAAGUCAUCAACCCCUCAAAUAUUUGAAGCAUGCCCCCAAAUCCGAUCAGGUUUAACUGUAGGCAAAGAAUGUAAAGUGCUGAAACUUUCCCUUCUUUUUAGCAAACACUACAACAAACCAGGUUAAUCUCAUUAGGGCUUAUUAAAGGAGAUCUCGGAGGGAGAGAUUUCCUCACUCCCUCAGGUGGGAUGGACGGCCAGACACUGUGAAACUCCAGACUAGCAUUCUCUGCCCGGGUGGUAUACCCCAAGUUCACUUAACCUUCAGUUUUCCAUAAGGAGUUGGGUUGGCCAAAUUCUUUGUUCUCAAGAUGCCGUGUCCCCAGCAUUUAGAUACCAAAGGGAUUCGAGGAUCUCUCUCUCAGCUUAAGUAAACACUAGGAGUCAGAUCAAUGUUUCCUGUCUAUGGAGAAUUAAGGAAGCAGAAUUUUGAGCUGAGGACCAAACCUUAGAGACUGGAGAUUGAAGGAUCCUGUGGCCCUGAGGCCCUGGCUGGACUCCCCCUAAUCCCAUCCAUCAAGACUUUGACAAGCAUCAGGACCUGGAAUCUGAGAAAUGGGAUCAAAGCAAGUUGGAGAAACCCCUGCAUCUGGAGACUCUUUAGCUGGCACACCUCGUACUCCCAAUACCAUCUUUGAUUUCCCACCUCCUCCAUUAGACCAAGUGCAGGAGGAGCAAUGGGAAGUAGAAG